AGAGUUUGAUCAUGGCUCAGAAUGAACGUUGGCGGCGUGGAUUAGGCAUGCAAGUCGAGCGCGAACCGUAGCAAUACGGGGAGAGCGGCAAACGGGGUAGGAAGGAUUGGUGACGUACCCUUCGGGCGGGGAUAGCCACGGGAAACUGUGGGUAAUACCCGAUAACCUCCUGGGUUUGAAUGCUCAGGUGCAAAGGUGUGAUUCCACCGGAGGAGCGGCCAAUUUGACAUCAGCUAGUUGGUAAGGUAACGGCUUACCAAGGCUACGACGUCUAGGGGGUGUGAGAGCAUGGCCCCCACCACUGGGACUGAGAUACUGCCCAGACACCUACGGGUGGCUGCAGUCGGGAAUCUUCGGCAAUGGGCGAAAGCCUGACCGAGCGACGCCGCGUGCGGGAUGAAGGUCUUCGGAUUGUAAACCGCUGUCAGAGGGGAUGAAGUCAUAGGGGGUUCUCCCCUUAUGUGACAGAGCCUCAGAGAG
RNAcentral lists this ribosomal RNA (480 nucleotides) under uncultured Planctomyces sp. Its description in RNAcentral is "bacterial SSU rRNA". It matches the Rfam family "Bacterial small subunit ribosomal RNA", at positions 8 to 488 of the family's 1533-position model. Lineage: Bacteria; Pseudomonadati; Planctomycetota; Planctomycetia; Planctomycetales; Planctomycetaceae. The record is from RNAcentral.